CCCCAAUGUAUACAUCCCUAUGUUUCCUAUCUCUCUGUGCCAGUUCGUCUUGUUUGCCAAGUCAACCAGCGUUUUUCCUUGCUCCUACUUUUCCCAGUCUCUGUUUGUUUCUAGUCCUCCUGGUUUCGACCCUUGCCUGUCCUGACUCUGAACCCGCCUGCCUGACCACUCUGCCUGUUUCUGACCCCUGCCUGGCUUGACCUCGACUGCCUAUUGCCUGGUACUGUUUGGAUUCUGACCUGGUUUAUGAACUCUCGCCUGUCCCCGACCUGCCUUUGCCAUUAAUAAUUAUCGGCGCUCAACCACCUGCCUCCUAUGUCUGCAUUUGGGUCUCACCUUGUGCCCUUAUACUGUGGACAUUCUGAAAGUAGUUUGAGGUCAGUGGGUCACAUGACCAAGAAACUAUUGAAAUUAGAAACAUUGAAAAACAUUGAAAGCUUGUAAAAACGUGUGAGAUGAAAAUGGACAAACAAAAGGGUGUGCAAUGUGUAGGCCCACUGAGUGUACAUUCUGAACUGUUUGAAGUCAGUAGGUCACAUGACCAAGGAGUUAUUGAAAUGUUGAAUUUAGAAAAAAUGUAAAAUGUGAGUUAUGAAAAUGGACAAACAAAAGGGUGUGCAAUGUGUAGGCCCACUGAGGGUAUAUUCUGAAUCUUGUUUGAAGUUAGGUCACAUGACCAAGGAGCUAUUGAAAUUCAAAUGUAAAAAGAAGUUUGUACUUUGUUUACACUCUAACUAAUUCAAUUAGGAAUACAAAAUGCUGUUCACAUUUCCACAUUUUUAUUAGCUUUGGAAAGUGAAUUAAUGUCCAAAUCGUGUGCAAUUUUUCUAACAUCAUGACACUUAUUUGGAGUCUGUGGCUCAAGUGGUUUGAAAGCGCGAAUAUCCAACUUGAAACUGUCUUUACAUUGGUUCUCGUUUGACAUAGAGGAUGUGUGGUUUAAGAAUAACGUUCGAGGAGUUGGUAGACGCACGUCGCUUUAAUCGAACGAUAGGCUUUUUUUCUGUCUUAUCAGUUUUGCUGUCAUUUGACGAAGUGGUUCUCCCGACUUCAGUUUUACAUUAUGUAUGAGGGAUAUGCGGUGACACCAUAUGCGCAGAAGCCGCUGCAUUGUUACAAU
Long non-coding RNA from Oncorhynchus tshawytscha (Chinook salmon), 1120 nucleotides. Lineage: Eukaryota; Metazoa; Chordata; Actinopteri; Salmoniformes; Salmonidae. The record is from Ensembl.